AGAUUAAGUUAUUAAGGGCGCACGGUGGAUGCCUUGGCACUAGAAGCCGAUGAAGGACGUUACUAACGACGAUAUGCUUUGGGGAGCUGUAAGUAAGCUUUGAUCCAGAGUUUUCCGAAUGGGGAAACCCAGCAUGAGUUAUGUCAUGUUAUCGAUAUGUGAAUACAUAGCAUAUCAGAAGGCACACCCGGAGAACUGAAACAUCUUAGUACCCGGAGGAAGAGAAAGAAAAUUCGAUUCCCUUAGUAGCGGCGAGCGAAA
Molecule: ribosomal RNA, 261 nt
Filed under: Staphylococcus aureus
Lineage: Bacteria; Bacillati; Bacillota; Bacilli; Caryophanales; Staphylococcaceae
Description: partial 23S ribosomal RNA
Rfam family: Bacterial large subunit ribosomal RNA
Source: RNAcentral